Neofelis nebulosa (Clouded leopard) is the source of this 1066-nucleotide long non-coding RNA. RefSeq lists it as uncharacterized. The record is from RefSeq and is a predicted model, not a curated record. Lineage: Eukaryota; Metazoa; Chordata; Mammalia; Carnivora; Felidae. The transcript is spliced from 3 exons.
CGGCGUAUCUCACUAAAACAUUUAUAGUCUACUAUGUUUAAAAGUUGAGCAAAGGAAAUCCUGAAACAUUAGUUAAGUCACAACUUGAAUCACAACUGACAUACACCUAGAUUCAUAUUAAUUUCCUUUUGCUUUUUAGGGUUUGCUUCUCUCCCCCCGCCUCACAACUUGCCAUACUUUUGUUUCAUAAUUAUGUAAAACACCCAUCUGGUGCUACACAGAAAAGAAAACCAGAGACAUCUCCUGGUAACCCUGUCCUCUCUCAUCCCUCCUCCUAGAAAUAACCAUAUUGUUCAUUUAUGGUUUGUAUUUCCAUAUUUAAAAAUAAAAUAGAAGCAAAUACACAUACAUCCAUGUCCCUCCACCUUUCCUUGGAGAGGUAAGCAUACUGUAUCUCUUUAUCCCCCACCUUGCUUCUUCCACUUCUCAUUUCACCCUAGAAAUCCCAUCACCAUGACAUAAGGACGUCCCUUCUUCCUUUGCUCAGGGGGCUUGAUGCCAUCCCCACCCAGGAGAUCCAUCCCCAUAAGUCUCUAGCCCCAACUGACAAACAUCUAAGUCAUUUCCAGCUUUGUUACUUCAGAAUGUUAGAAUGAACAUCCUUGUCACAAUUCUUAUGUUUGACAGUGUAUCUUUGUGAUACAUUUUUCUAGAAGCGGAAUUUCUGAAGCAAAGGGUAAACAAAUCUCUCUCUGAAGAGCUGUGAGCCUCCAAAAGCAAUAUAUGGCAGUGCUUGAUUCCCAUCAAUAGACUGGCAUCCACCUCUGGGGACAAAAGCAGGCAAAUCCAGGCAGCCGGUUCUCACCCCAUACAGCUAUGCUGUUAGAGAGACAUGCACCCCUCAGCAAGUCACCUGCUGGCUAGCCUGUAAAAGCAGCUGACCAACUCAGGAGGUCCUCCAAGCUGUCUUAGAGUUCUAAGACAAUUCCCAGUUCUACCUUCUUCUCUAGGAGGUAGCUGUAAGCUUCUGAAGCAGUGCUCAGUUUCAAAUGUCCAAGGAGCUGAAUGAGGUUCACUGGACAAGUCAGAGCCUUCAUUCCAGACACCAGACCUCAACCACUCACCU